UACGAAGGGUGCAAGCGUUACUCGGAAUUACUGGGCGUAAAGCGUGCGUAGGUGGUGGUUUAAGUCUGUUGUGAAAGCCCUGGGCUCAACCUGGGAAUUGCAGUGGAUACUGGAUCACUAGAGUGUGGUAGAGGGUGGCGGAAUUCCCGGUGUAGCAGUGAAAUGCGUAGAUAUCGGGAGGAACACCAGUGGCGAAAGCGGCUUCCUGGUCCAACACUGACACUGAGGCACGAAAGCGUGGGGAGCGAACAGG
This 253-nucleotide ribosomal RNA is filed under the name uncultured bacterium. RNAcentral describes it as "partial 16S ribosomal RNA". It matches the Rfam family "Bacterial small subunit ribosomal RNA", at positions 524 to 776 of the family's 1533-position model. The record is from RNAcentral.